GGGCCUUUAGCUCAGUUGGUUAGAGCAUGCGACUCAUAAUCGCCAGGUCCCCGGUUCGAGUCCGGGAAGGCCCACCA
RNAcentral lists this transfer RNA (77 nucleotides) under Thalassolituus oleivorans. Its description in RNAcentral is "tRNA-Ile". It matches the Rfam family "tRNA". From Rfam's summary of the family: Transfer RNA (tRNA) molecules are approximately 80 nucleotides in length. Their secondary structure includes four short double-helical elements and three loops (D, anti-codon, and T loops). Further hydrogen bonds mediate the characteristic L-shaped molecular structure. tRNAs have two regions of fundamental functional importance: the anti-codon, which is responsible for specific mRNA codon recognition, and the 3' end, to which the tRNAs corresponding amino acid is attached (by aminoacyl-tRNA synthetases). tRNAs cope with the degeneracy of the genetic code in two manners: having more than one tRNA (with a specific anti-codon) for a particular amino acid; and 'wobble' base-pairing, i.e. permitting non-standard base-pairing at the 3rd anti-codon position. Lineage: Bacteria; Pseudomonadati; Pseudomonadota; Gammaproteobacteria; Oceanospirillales; Oceanospirillaceae. The record is from RNAcentral. RNAcentral also lists the same sequence under 4 other names.